Molecule: ribosomal RNA, 657 nt
Filed under: Lachancea nothofagi
Lineage: Eukaryota; Fungi; Ascomycota; Saccharomycetes; Saccharomycetales; Saccharomycetaceae
Description: eukaryotic LSU rRNA
Rfam family: Eukaryotic large subunit ribosomal RNA
Source: RNAcentral
AAAGUUUGACCUCAAAUCAGGUAGGAUUACCCGCUGAACUUAAGCAUAUCAAUAAGCGGAGGAAAAGAAACCAACCGGGAUUGCCUUAGUAACGGCGAGUGAAGCGGCAAAAGCUCAAAUUUGAAAUCUGGCACCUUCGGUGUCCGAGUUGUAAUUUGAAGAAGUAACUUUGGGGCUAGUCCUUGUCUAUGUUCCUUGGAACAGGACGUCAUGGAGGGUGAGAAUCCCGUAUGGCGAGGAGCCUAGUCCUAUGUAAAGUGCUUUCGACGAGUCGAGUUGUUUGGGAAUGCAGCUCUAAGUGGGUGGUAAAUUCCAUCUAAAGCUAAAUAUUGGCGAGAGACCGAUAGCGAACAAGUACAGUGAUGGAAAGAUGAAAAGAACUUUGAAAAGAGAGUGAAAAAGUACGUGAAAUUGUUGAAAGGGAAGGGCAUUUGAUCAGACAUGGUGUUUUGCGACCCUCGCUCCUUGUGGGUGGGGAUCUCGCAGUUCACUGGGCCAACAUCAGUUUUGGCGGCAGGAUAAAUUCUUGGGAAUGUAGCUUGUCUUCGGAGAAGCAUUAUAGCCCAGGAGAAUACUGCCAGCCGGGACUGAGGACUGCGACUUUUGUCAAGGAUGUUGGCAUAAUGGUCAUAUGCCGCCCGUCUUGAAACACGGACC